UACGGAGGGUGCAAGCGUUGCUCGGAAUUAUUGGGCGUAAAGGGUAGGUAGGUGGUCUCAUUUGUCUGGGGUGAAAGCCUUGAGCUUAACUCAAGAAGUGCCCCAGAAACGGUGAGACUGGAGUCCUGGAGAGGGUCGUGGAAUUCCCGGUGUAGCGGUGAAAUGCGUAGAGAUCGGGAGGAACACCAGAGGCGAAAGCGGCGACCUGGACAGGCACUGACACUCAGCUACGAAAGCGUGGGGAGCAAACAGG
This 253-nucleotide ribosomal RNA is filed under the name uncultured bacterium. RNAcentral describes it as "partial 16S ribosomal RNA". It matches the Rfam family "Bacterial small subunit ribosomal RNA", at positions 524 to 776 of the family's 1533-position model. The record is from RNAcentral.